GACAGAGGUGGCUAGCGUUGUUCGGAUUUAUUGGGCGUAAAGCGCACGCAGGCGGUUUGGUAAGUCAGGGGUGAAAGGCCACAGCUUAACUGUGGUAUUGCCUUUGAUACUGCCUUUCUUGAGUGCAUGAGGGGGAAGCGGAAUUCCGAGUGUAGAGGUGAAAUUCGUAGAUAUUCGGAGGAACACCGGUGGCGAAGGCGGCUUCCUGGCAUGUAACUGACGCUCAUGUGCGAAAGCGUGGGGAGCAAAC
This 250-nucleotide ribosomal RNA is filed under the name uncultured bacterium. RNAcentral's name for it is "partial 16S ribosomal RNA". It matches the Rfam family "Bacterial small subunit ribosomal RNA", at positions 524 to 773 of the family's 1533-position model. The record is from RNAcentral.